UGCAAGUCGAGGGGGUAUAUUUCUUCGGAGAUAGAGACCGGCGCACGGGUGCGUAACGCGUAUGCAAUCUACCUUUUACAGAGGGAUAGCCCAGAGAAAUUUGGAUUAAUACCUCAUAGUAUAUAGCCCUGGCAUCAGGAUUAUAUUAAAGUCACAACGGUAAAAGAUGAGCAUGCGUCCCAUUAGCUAGUUGGUAAGGUAACGGCUUACCAAGGCUACGAUGGGUAGGGGUCCUGAGAGGGAGAUCCCCCACACUGGUACUGAGACACGGACCAGACUCCUACGGGAGGCAGCAGUGAGGAAUAUUGGACAAUGGGCGCAAGCCUGAUCCAGCCAUGCCGCGUGCAGGAUGACGGUCCUAUGGAUUGUAAACUGCUUUUAUACGAGAAGAAACACUGAUUCGUGAAUCAGCUUGACGGUAUCGUAAGAAUAAGGAUCGGCUAACUCCGUGCCAGCAGCCGCGGUAAUACGGAGGAUCCAAGCGUUAUCCGGAAUCAUUGGGUUUAAAGGGUCCGUAGGCGGUUUAAUAAGUCAGUGGUGAAAGCCCAUCGCUCAACGGUGGAACGGCCAUUGAUACUGUUAAACUUGAAUUAUUAGGAAGUAACUAGAAUAUGUAGUGUAGCGGUGAAAUGCUUAGAGAUUACAUGGAAUACCAAUUGCGAAGGCAGGUUACUACUAAUGGAUUGACGCUGAUGGACGAAAGCGUGGGUAGCGAACAGGAUUAGAUACCCUGGUAGUCCACGCCGUAAACGAUGGAUACUAGCUGUUGGAAGCAAUUUCAGUGGCUAAGCGAAAGUGAUAAGUAUCCCACCUGGGGAGUACGUUCGCAAGAAUGAAACUCAAAGGAAUUGACGGGGGCCCGCACAAGCGGUGGAGCAUGUGGUUUAAUUCGAUGAUACGCGAGGAACCUUACCAAGGCUUAAAUGUAGAUUGACCGGUUUGGAAACAGAUCUUUCGCAAGACAAUUUACAAGG
Molecule: ribosomal RNA, 974 nt
Filed under: Flavobacterium piscis
Lineage: Bacteria; Pseudomonadati; Bacteroidota; Flavobacteriia; Flavobacteriales; Flavobacteriaceae
Description: bacterial SSU rRNA
Rfam family: Bacterial small subunit ribosomal RNA
Source: RNAcentral